CUUACAAAGUGUUGAUUUUUAACUGACUUCUACCUUAAAAUGUGCCCCAGCUUGAUAUUAAUAAUAAUAAUAAUAAAAAAUGUGAUUGCAAAUGUAAUAAUGUAAUAUUUUAAUGCUGAUCAUCUUUUGCGUUUACAUUAUAAAAGCUUUAAUAACAUUUACCCUUGUUACUUUGACGGAAAUGAAUGUGAAUAGCAAUGCAGGCUGCUUGAUAUUCAGUCUCCGGAGUCACAUGACUGCAUGGCAUCUGUAUUCCGGCAUGAGCAAUGUAUCUAACAUGUCGUUUCAAAGGAUUUUUAUGCAUACAUGAAAUGCAGUGACUGUGUAUUUCGCUUUAGUUCUGUUCCAGGGAAAGGGAUUUCUUCCUCUUUAUUCCCCCAGUCUUUCGCCGCAGACCCUGGAAUCCUCUCUGCUCAGCAGUUAUUGAAGUGAGGAGAAGGUACGUCUCCAUGGCAACCAGGGUGAAGCGUGUCCUGGUCAUAUUUACUGAAAUUCAUUCAGACGAGAUGACUUUUACACUGGAGAAAGCAAUAUUAUGGAUUAUGGACAUUUUAGCCGGAAACAACUGUUUGAAGUUAAAAACGUCUUAAUGAAGGAUUUUCCUCUUCCAGACAUGCAGCUUUUCACAGGACAUUUAUUGAUGGACUGAAGUCAUGUGGAUUACUUUGUGAUGUGUUUAUCGGCUGUUUGGACUCUCAUUCUGACGACACCCAUUGCAUUAUUCUUUUAGGUCCUGCGAUGAAACCUCUGAAACAUUUGGUGCACACCCGUCGAAAAGCUGUCAUCUCUUCUGGUGUCUGCAGAGGAGGAUCAAAGCGGGAACAGGCAGCCAACGAGAGAGAGGGAAAGAAAGAGAGAUUUCGGGGUGAACCAGAGGACGCAGCCUCUUCUGUUGAACAGGGUAACCCAGUUGCUGCCAGAUUGAAGGAAGUCUGCUUCUCUGUAAACAUAUUUAAUUAAGACAUCAAACUUCAAACCGUAUGAUGAAAAAGAAUGCCGAUAAGGAGAAAGAAGGUUUUGGGGUCGAACUGUGUGCCUCUGCUGCUUUUCUCUGAUUUAGAAACAGGCUUCUUUUGAUUAAAUAAUCAUUGUUUUGUAGAAUUGCAAGUUGCGGAUCAGACAUGUGCAUAGACACAGCAGAAAUUUAUUGAGAUGAUGCAGAAGUGCUGCUGUUUUUAAGACCUCUGAAUAAAACCUCUUUAGAUCAGGGGUGCUCA
Long non-coding RNA from Cyprinus carpio (common carp), 1217 nucleotides. The record is from Ensembl. NCBI's taxonomy places the organism in Eukaryota, Metazoa, Chordata, Actinopteri, Cypriniformes, Cyprinidae.